Molecule: long non-coding RNA, 1201 nt
Organism: Xyrauchen texanus (razorback sucker)
Lineage: Eukaryota; Metazoa; Chordata; Actinopteri; Cypriniformes; Catostomidae
Exons: 3
Source: RefSeq, a predicted model, not a curated record
UAGACAGCCCCUGGAAGAUCACUUCCUUCAACUGUCCUGUGUGAACCUUAUCAUCUCAUAUGGAAGAUUGAAAAAUAGAGGGAGCAGAGGAAGAGAGAAGGAUGCAGAGAGAGCUGCUCUGCAGAGCACCCUGCUGAGCGCCUGUCUUGUCUCCCUACGAAAAAAGGAUUGUAACUUUCCAUUGAUUCUUUCAAAUUAUGUAAGCUUACCUGACCAAUAAGAUGAACGGCAAUUCAGGGUCGGUUCUGAUCCCCAAAACCGAAUGAAGGUCCAUACAGGAAUCAAAUGCCCUGGGAAUGUUCACUCUAGUUUUCACUCGACCACGAUCACGUUCCCACUUAGCCAGAAGGGAUUAAGUAGAUCAAUGUUUUUUUUUUAAACUCUGCAUUGGUGUUGUGCUGGGAGUUGGAAGUUUGCUGGAUUCCAUCUCUAAGAUAAUGUUACCUAGUGUUGCAAUAUGUUGAAUAGUGGAAGAGAAGAGAUUACUGUCUGAGGCAAGGCCCUCAGGAGUGCGCAUAAAUUGUCACAUCCUUUGGAUUUUCCCGGCAAAACCGACCCGCUCCCUUCGCAUGAAAAUCAGUUUACAGGCUUUAAUAGGCAACCUAGGAAGUUCAGGAAGGGCUCAUUUUUUAAGUUGCAUUACAAGCCUUUCACACAUUGGCAAAAAAGGUGAAUAUUACAUGAACAUUGUUACAUAUUGCACUUUUACCCAAACCCUAGACCUAACCAUGAUUUGUAUAGGAAAAUAACGUUAAUGUAUAACGGAAUUAAACAUCAGAGUUUGGGAAGUAUUGCAGGUUAUUGACAUUGCAUUGCAUUAAUAAAUAUAUAUGGAAUGAGAAAACAAAUUUAUUCACAGACGUUUCCUUCCUAAAACAGUGUGUUGGACAGGAGGCUGGCUAAAAUGUUAUGCCUGACACCCGAGCAUGACUGCUGUGUGCAUUUUUCAUUUGUAACUAGUAAACUAAUAAACAUGCAAAAAAAAGUUUUCAACUUCAAAUAGUUUUUCUCAAAAUGUAUGUCCACAUAUGUGGACAUCGGGACUAAGUUGUGAAUUUGUGUAUAAUACCAAGUUAUAAAAUGUCCGCUUUUUUUACAUAAUUUUUUUUUUUUUUAGUUUCCUAGUGUGUUGUUUAUUUAUGUUUUUGAGACGUUACAGACAUAACAUUAGAAAUGUGCAAAAAUAAUUCUGAUUAAAAGU